AAGUUCUUAUUAUGAGUCUGUGAGACUUAAAUUAUAAACUAGGAUUAGAUACCCUACUAUUUUAAGUGUAAAUUUAUUUGCCUGGGUAUUAAUAGAUAAGGUCUUUAAACCCAAAGAAUUUGGCGGUACCUUAUUCCAUUCAGAGGAACCUACCCCGUAAUUGAUAGUACACGAUUAACUUUACUUGGUCUAUUUGUUUGUAUAUCUCCGUUAUCAGAAAAUCUUUUUAGAGUUUUAAUUUUCAUGUUUCAAAAUUAUGAAAUAUUUCAGGUCAAGGUGCAGCUUAUGAUUGAGAGGAGGUGGGUUACAAUAAGUUUUUGCUUAUUACGGUUUUUGUGAUGCAAUUAUUAUAAAUUAAGGUGGAUUUGAUAGUAAUUUGAUUGAUUUAAUUCUUUUGAUAUUGGCUCUAGGGUGUGUACACAUCGCCCGUCACUCUCAUUAUUGAAUUAUUUAAUUUGUUUUAUUUGUUCAAAUUAGAUGAGAUAAGUCGUAACAUAGUAGAUGUACUGGAAAGUGUAUCUGGAAAGGUGUC
This 532-nucleotide ribosomal RNA is filed under the name Hemicharilaus monomorphus. Its description in RNAcentral is "small subunit ribosomal RNA". It matches the Rfam family "Microsporidia small subunit ribosomal RNA", at positions 618 to 1311 of the family's 1311-position model. Lineage: Eukaryota; Metazoa; Arthropoda; Insecta; Orthoptera; Charilaidae. The record is from RNAcentral.